GCUUAUCACACUUGACUUAUUUCCUUGAGUUUGACCCAGAAUGGCUUAUACUGCAGAAGGACAAUCCUCUUUGAAGAUGUUCCCCUCAAGGGCUCCUCACCACGUCAGGGACUGCCAUUAAUCAAGGACAGUUGAGCCUGUGAUCUGCAGAAUACAGAUAUUUCCCACAUAACAUUGUGCAGAUUAAAGUACUGGAGGGAACUUGUCAGAGCAUCUGUAACUGAAGGUGGAGAAGGUAAAAAGGAGUUACAAGAGCUCCCUGUUGCCGCUAUCAUCUCUAAAACUGGUUUGCCUUCAUUAAACAUAUAUGAUAAAAUAGCAUUGUCUCAUUAAGCAUAUGUUAGAUUUUAGUAGGAAAAAUGACUCAGAAACAUGCUGACUUAGGGAAAAUAAGUAAUGAUUUUAAAAUAGCAAUGACUAAUCCCCAAAUUGGAUAAUACAAGUAUGGAUAAUUUAGAAUUGACUAUACAUAGAAAAGAUUUGUGGAGCCUACAAAAAUUAAAAUCAAAUUUAAUUUGGGCAAAAUAAAUCUCAAAAAUAUCCCA
RNAcentral lists this long non-coding RNA (545 nucleotides) under Phascolarctos cinereus (koala). RNAcentral's name for it is "lncRNA (ENSPCIG00000018452.2)". Lineage: Eukaryota; Metazoa; Chordata; Mammalia; Diprotodontia; Phascolarctidae. The record is from RNAcentral.